Molecule: unclassified non-coding RNA, 244 nt
Filed under: uncultured fungus
Lineage: Eukaryota; Fungi
Description: partial contains small subunit ribosomal RNA, internal transcribed spacer 1, and 5.8S ribosomal RNA
Rfam family: Eukaryotic small subunit ribosomal RNA (bases 1-73)
Source: RNAcentral
GCAAACUUGGUCAUUUAGAGGAAGUAAAAGUCGUAACAAGGUCUCCGUAGGUGAACCUGCGGAGGGAUCAUUAACGAACGGUCGUCAGACCUUCAAACCCUUCAAACCACGUGGAAAUAUAUUGUGCUUCGGCGCUACGGCGCCGCUUUUAUACAGAAACAAAGCCUGUGUCUGAGCUGAAAGCGGAAGCGAAAAAACUUUCAACAAAGGAUCUCUUGGCUCUCGCAUCGAUGAAGAACGCAGC